This 187-nucleotide ribosomal RNA is filed under the name Citrobacter freundii. Its description in RNAcentral is "partial 16S ribosomal RNA". It matches the Rfam family "Bacterial small subunit ribosomal RNA", at positions 1 to 177 of the family's 1533-position model. Lineage: Bacteria; Pseudomonadati; Pseudomonadota; Gammaproteobacteria; Enterobacterales; Enterobacteriaceae. The record is from RNAcentral.
ACUUAAAUUGAAGAGUUUGAUCAUGGCUCAGAUUGAACGCUGGCGGCAGGCCUAACACAUGCAAGUCGAACGGUAGCACAAAGGAGCUUGCUCCUUGGGUGACGAGUGGCGGACGGGUGAGUAAUGUCUGGGAAACUGCCCGAUGGAGGGGGAUAACUACUGGAAACGGUAGCUAAUACCGCAUAAC